RNAcentral lists this ribosomal RNA (472 nucleotides) under uncultured bacterium. RNAcentral's name for it is "bacterial SSU rRNA". It matches the Rfam family "Bacterial small subunit ribosomal RNA", at positions 355 to 825 of the family's 1533-position model. The record is from RNAcentral.
UGGGGAAUUUUGGGCAAUGGGCGAAAGCCUGACCCAGCAAUGCCGCGUGCAGGAUGAAGGCCUUCGGGUUGUAAACUGCUUUUGUACGGAACGAAACGGCGAGCUCUAAUAAAGUUUGCUAAUGACGGUACCGUAAGAAUAAGCACCGGCUAACUACGUGCCAGCAGCCGCGGUAAUACGUAGGGUGCGAGCGUUAAUCGGAAUUACUGGGCGUAAAGCGUGCGCAGGCGGUUAUAUAAGACAGAUGUGAAAUCCCCGGGCUCAACCUGGGACCUGCAUUUGUGACUGUAUAGCUAGAGUACGGUAGAGGGGGAUGGAAUUCCGCGUGUAGCAGUGAAAUGCGUAGAUAUGCGGAGGAACACCGAUGGCGAAGGCAAUCCCCUGGACCUGUACUGACGCUCAUGCACGAAAGCGUGGGGAGCAAACAGGAUUAGAUACCCAAGUAGUCCCUGAGCGGGCUGGCAAGGCGCAU